This is a long non-coding RNA of Lagopus leucura (white-tailed ptarmigan), 1571 nucleotides long. RefSeq lists it as uncharacterized. The record is from RefSeq and is a predicted model, not a curated record. The transcript has 6 exons. Lineage: Eukaryota; Metazoa; Chordata; Aves; Galliformes; Phasianidae.
GAGGAAGAUAGCCUUGCUUCCCAGUCAUCUGGGCAGCGUGCAGCCCCUAUUUUAUGUAGGUUAUGGGGAGGUGAUGGGACUGCCUGUGGUGAGAAGGGAGGCUUGAUUCUCUUCUCUGAGGAGCAGGCCAGGCUAUUGAAGAGGUCUUUGUUCCUUAACUUACUGCUGAAACUGCAUAAGCUUGUGUGCCUUGCUCUGACUGAAAGCAGAAGGUUGGAUGGCUCAUCUGAACAAGGGGAAUAAAACCACACCACUUCCUGGACUGAACUUCUGGAAAAAAAUCAUAGUAAUUUCACCUGGACCUUAUUAGCCUUACAAUUAGAAGAACUUUUUUUUUCACCGCCUUGUGUUCUGGGAGAGAAAGUGACUUAACUGGAUUAAGCUGGGCUGACAGGCUGCCCCUGACCAGAAGCCUGCUAUGCUUAAUGAAACACCAGCUGAGCUUCUUGGAUCCAAGCAUGUGAAGUGAGGGGGCACGUAAGCAUCUGUUUGGAUACAACUGAAAAUCCCAGCUGUCAGUGAGGAUUUAGCAAUGUGCAGCUGAGAGGUGGCUCCUGUUCUCAUUGAAAAGUACCUCAGUUACUGGAAGGUACCUUCUGGAUGGAGCCUUCCAAUGGUCUUGCUGUGCAUACCAGGACAUCCUGCCAAACACCUGGAAACUUGACAGCAAUGCCCAAUGAGGAUGUUGCCUCCCUCUUUUGUCUUUACUGCUGCCCUGGUGGUGAUAUUACUAAGAUGCUGAUUCUUUUUCUCUGUGGGUGCUUGCAAUGCACUCUCAGGAUGAAAAGAUCCACUUCAACUCUGAGAUGAUGUGUAAGAAAGCUGAAUUAGCUUCCAUGCUUUUGAACAAGUGUUAGUUAAGACAUAAUGCUGUAGCACGUGGCAACUAAUUUGUUAUUGUAAUAGAAGAGCUCUUGAUGACCUCACUCCUUCUGCCUAGAGCACAACACUGCUUCCAACGCUACAGGAAAGCUGCACUAACUCUAAAAUACAGAAAACUGGUUAGAGCUCAUUCAAACUGUCUAUGGGAAGAACAGCAACGCUCUUAAAAGCACGACUAUUUCUCCAAUGAAAGAGAACUGGGGGAGUGCUGUGAUGAGGUUUUUUGGAUGUUGUGAAGUGUUGUGUGUUGAGGAAGAGGCAGGUAUAACCAAACCUGGUAAAACUGCUCUGGUGGUGGUUGCAGAUGUGCCUCAUGAACUGCGUGUGAUAAGCUUGGAGAACCUGUCCUGUCUUCAGCCUGCUGUAACUAGAGAUCAUCAGAGCGGAAUAUCUGUUGAUGCUGAAGACAGUUCUGAUAAGGUACUGAUGAGACAAAGAUACCUCAACCACAAUGACACUUAAAUACCACGUAUAACCUGGUUAAAGCUUUUAGGUGAAGCUGGCAUCUCCGAAACAAAGACCUACCAACUCCGUCAGGGUGUGAACUUGUGCUGCAGCUUGUGCUCAGCCCUUUCUUGAGGAGCACCCAGGAAAGUGGUACCAGAUCAAAUCCUCAGGUUACGUAAAUGAAGUCUAUGUCUUCAAUGGGAAGAACUUUUCCUCUUUAAAAAAAAAAAAAAAAAAAAAAA